CCUACGGGAGGCAGCAGUGAGGAAUAUUGGUCAAUGGACGAGAGUCUGAACCAGCCAAGUAGCGUGAAGGAUGACUGCCCUAUGGGUUGUAAACUUCUUUUAUAUGGGAAUAAAAUGUUCCACUUGGGGGUUUUUGUAUGUCACAUGUGAAUAAGGAUCGUCUAACUCCGUGACAGCAGCCGAUGUAAUACGGAGUCUGCGAGCGUUAUCCGGAUUUAUUGGGUUUAAAGGUAGCGUAGGUGGAUUGUGAAGUCAGUUGUGAAAGUUUGCGGCUCAACCGUAAAAUUGCAGUUGAAACUGGCAGUCUUGAGUAUAGUAGAGGUGGGCGGAAUUCGUGGUGUAGCGGUGAAAUGCUUAGAUAUCACGAAGAACUCCGAUUGCGAAGGCAGUUCACUGGACUGCAACUGACACUGAGGCUCGAAAGUGUGGGUAUCAAACAGGAUUAGAUACCCUAGUAGUC
RNAcentral lists this ribosomal RNA (460 nucleotides) under uncultured bacterium. RNAcentral describes it as "partial 16S ribosomal RNA". It matches the Rfam family "Bacterial small subunit ribosomal RNA", at positions 338 to 795 of the family's 1533-position model. The record is from RNAcentral.